This 497-nucleotide ribosomal RNA is filed under the name uncultured bacterium. RNAcentral describes it as "partial 16S ribosomal RNA". It matches the Rfam family "Bacterial small subunit ribosomal RNA", at positions 28 to 507 of the family's 1533-position model. The record is from RNAcentral.
GAUGAACGCUGGCGGCGUGCCUAAUACAUGCAAGUCGAGCGAACAGACGAGGAGCUUGCUCCUCUGACGUUAGCGGCGGACGGGUGAGUAACACGUGGAUAACCUACCUAUAAGACUGGGAUAACUUCGGGAAACCGGAGCUAAUACCGGAUAAUAUAUUGAACCGCAUGGUUCAAUAGUGAAAGACGGUUUUGCUGUCACUUAUAGAUGGAUCCGCGCCGCAUUAGCUAGUUGGUAAGGUAACGGCUUACCAAGGCAACGAUGCGUAGCCGACCUGAGAGGGUGAUCGGCCACACUGGAACUGAGACACGGUCCAGACUCCUACGGGGGGCAGCAGUAGGGAAUCUUCCGCAAUGGGCGAAAGCCUGACGGAGCAACGCCGCGUGAGUGAUGAAGGUCUUCGGAUCGUAAAACUCUGUUAUGAGGGAAGAACAAAUGUGUAAGUAACUAUGCACGUCUUGACGGUACCUAAUCAGAAAGCCACGGCUAACUACGUG